GAUGAAGAACGCAGCAAAAUGCGAUAAGUAAUGUGAAUUGCAGAAUUCAGUGAAUCAUCGAAUCUUUGAACGCACAUUGCGCCCGCUGGUAUUCCGGCGGGCAUGCCUGUUCGAGCGUCAUUUCAACCCUCAAGCCCCCGGGUUUGGUGUUGGGGAUCGGCUCUGCCCUUCUGGGCGGUGCCGCCCCCGAAAUACAUUGGCGGUCUCGCUGCAGCCUCCAUUGCGUAGUAGCUAACACCUCGCAACUGGAACGCGGCGCGGCCAUGCCGUAAAACCCCAACUUCUGAAUGUUGAACUCGGAUCAGGUAGGAAUACCCGCUGAACUUAAGCAUAUCAAUAAGCGGAGGA
This 348-nucleotide unclassified non-coding RNA is filed under the name soil metagenome. Its description in RNAcentral is "partial contains 5.8S ribosomal RNA, internal transcribed spacer 2, and large subunit ribosomal RNA". The stretch from base 1 to 120 matches the Rfam family "5.8S ribosomal RNA", at positions 35 to 154 of the family's 154-position model. The record is from RNAcentral.